This 95-nucleotide transfer RNA is filed under the name Novosphingobium resinovorum. RNAcentral describes it as "tRNA-Pro". RNAcentral also lists the same sequence under 1 other name. The record is from RNAcentral. Lineage: Bacteria; Pseudomonadati; Pseudomonadota; Alphaproteobacteria; Sphingomonadales; Sphingomonadaceae.
UGCGGGUUGAGCUGGUAGCGCAGCAUCGCCAGCUGGGCACUGGUGGCCUGGGUCUCCAGCCGGAUCAGCUGGUCGUUCUGCUCCUCCACCUGCAG